UAAGAGAGUUUGAUCCUGGCUCAGGAUGAACGCUGGCGGUAUGCUUUACACAUGCAAGUCGUACGGGAGUUUUUAACUCAAGUGGCGGACGGGUGAGUAACACGUAAGAAUUUGCCUUUAGGAGGGGGAUAACAACUGGAAACGGUUGCUAAUACCCCAUAUGCUUUUGAGUGAAAUGGAAUUUCCGCCUAAAGAGAAGCUUGCGGCUGAUUAGCUUGUUGGUAAGGUAAUGGCUUACCAAGGCGACGAUCAGUAUCUGGUUUGAGAGGACGAUCAGACACACUGGAACUGAGACACGGUCCAGACUCCUACGGGAGGCAGCAGUGGGGAAUUUUCCGCAAUGGGCGAAAGCCUGACGGA
Molecule: ribosomal RNA, 360 nt
Filed under: Oxyrrhis marina
Lineage: Eukaryota; Dinophyceae; Oxyrrhinales; Oxyrrhinaceae
Description: partial Bacterial small subunit ribosomal RNA
Rfam family: Bacterial small subunit ribosomal RNA
Source: RNAcentral